Molecule: ribosomal RNA, 252 nt
Filed under: uncultured bacterium
Lineage: Bacteria
Description: partial 16S ribosomal RNA
Rfam family: Bacterial small subunit ribosomal RNA
Source: RNAcentral
UACGUAGGGUGCAAGCGUUAAUCGGAAUUACUGGGCGUAAAGCGUGCGCAGGCGGCUUUGCAAGACAGAUGUGAAAUCCCCGGGCUCAACCUGGGAACUGCAUUUGUGACUGCAUGGCUGGAGUGCGGCAGAGGGGGAUGGAAUUCCGCGUGUAGCAGUGAAAUGCGUAGAUAUGCGGAGGAACACCGAUGGCGAAGGCAAUCCCCUGGGCCUGCACUGACGCUCGUGCACGAAAGCGUGGGAGCAAACAGG